This 460-nucleotide ribosomal RNA is filed under the name uncultured bacterium. RNAcentral describes it as "partial 16S ribosomal RNA". It matches the Rfam family "Bacterial small subunit ribosomal RNA", at positions 338 to 795 of the family's 1533-position model. The record is from RNAcentral.
CCUACGGGGGGCAGCAGUGAGGAAUAUUGGUCAAUGGACGAGAGUCUGAACCAGCCAAGUAGCGUGAAGGAUGACUGCCCUAUGGGUUGUAAACUUCUUUUAUAUGGGAAUAAAAUGUUCCACGUGUGGGAUUUUGUAUGUACCAUAUGAAUAAGGAUCGGCUAACUCCGUGCCAGCAGCCGCGGUAAUACGGAGGAUCCGAGCGUUAUCCGGAUUUAUUGGGUUUAAAGGGAGCGUAGGUGGAUUGUUAAGUCAGUUGUGAAAGUUUGCGGCUCAACCGUAAAAUUGCAGUUGAUACUGGCAGUCUUGAGUACAGUAGAGGUGGGCGGAAUUCGAGGUGUAGCGGUGAAAUGCUUAGAUAUCACGAAGAACUCCGAUUGCGAAGGCAGUUCACUGGACUGAAACUGACACUGAGGCUCGAAAGUGUGGGUAUCAAACAGGAUUAGAUACCCUAGUAGUC